Long non-coding RNA from Bombyx mori (domestic silkworm), 560 nucleotides. RefSeq lists it as uncharacterized. The transcript is spliced from 2 exons. The record is from RefSeq and is a predicted model, not a curated record. Lineage: Eukaryota; Metazoa; Arthropoda; Insecta; Lepidoptera; Bombycidae.
UUGGCGUCAAAAUGUCAUUUUGAAUUUUACUGUCGAAAAGUUUUGUCUUGCUAAUGAUAAAUAAAUAAUAACAUAGAAUAAACUAAAAACGAUAUAUAAUAUAUCAUGUUAAUUAUUGCCAAUAGAGGCGUUUGCGCGCAUAAUAUAUACCUACAAUAAUAUCGACUCGUAUGAGCAAACGAUACGACCUACCACUGUUACUGGUGGUAUGUGUCGAACUGAUGAUAGUAGAACCACAGAGCAUGUCGUCUCUGGAGAUUUGACCAACGAAAACGGAUAUUACAAGAAGCCAUCUAUUUCAAAAUUUCAUAUUUGUGAUGAACGAGUAACAGCAAAUAUCUCCGGCUGCAGAGUGAAGAGAAAGUUGCGUUAUUAACAUAUUGCUUCUGUUUCACACAGCUGCUCUCAUACCUCACACUGAGAGUUUUUCUCAUAGAAGAUUGUUUAAAAAAGUUUGUUUAUUUAUUGUGGGCACAUUAAAAUUUAUUAUCAUGAAAACCUUUAUUAGAAAAGAUAUAAAAUACAAAAUGAAAAUAGGUUAUUAUAUAGAUUAUUUCUUA